GACUUCGGUAGCUGCCGCGGUACGGGCGCCGGGUUUCUUCCCCGGACCGUCGCGGGCGGGAGGUCGACCGUGGGUUCCAGCCGCAUCCGUUGCCG
RNAcentral lists this transfer RNA (95 nucleotides) under Virgisporangium aliadipatigenens. RNAcentral describes it as "tRNA-Arg". The record is from RNAcentral. Lineage: Bacteria; Bacillati; Actinomycetota; Actinomycetes; Micromonosporales; Micromonosporaceae.